UGCGGCCGCAACUCCGGUUGAUCCUGCCGGACCCGACCGCUAUCGGGGUGGGGCUAAGCCAUGGGAGUCGUACGCCCCUCCGCUGAGGGGCGUGGCGGACGGCUGAGUAACACGUGGCUAACCUACCCUCGGGACGGGGAUAACUCCGGGAAACUGGAGCUAAUCCCCGAUAGGCGAGGGGGCCUGGAAGGGUCCCUCGCCGAAAGGGUGCGGCGGGGGUUAUCGCCGCCGUGCCGCCCGAGGAUGGGGCUGCGGCCCAUCAGGUAGUUGGCGGGGUAACGGCCCGCCAAGCCGAUAACGGGUAGGGGCCGUGAGAGCGGGAGCCCCCAGAUGGGCACUGAGACAAGGGCCCAGGCCCUACGGGGUGCACCAGGCGCGAAACCUC
RNAcentral lists this ribosomal RNA (385 nucleotides) under Thermoprotei archaeon. RNAcentral describes it as "bacterial SSU rRNA". It matches the Rfam family "Archaeal small subunit ribosomal RNA", at positions 1 to 350 of the family's 1478-position model. The record is from RNAcentral. Lineage: Archaea; Thermoproteati; Thermoproteota; Thermoprotei.